UACGUAGGGGGGCUAGCGUUGUCCGGAAUCAUUGGGCGUAAAGCGCGUGUAGGCGGUCCGGUAAGUCCGCUGUGAAAGUCGGGGGCUCAACCCUCGGAUGCCGGUGGAUACUGUCGGGCUUGAGUACGGAAGAGGAGUGUGGAAUUCCUGGUGUAGCGGUGAAAUGCGCAGAUAUCAGGAGGAACACCAAUGGCGAAGGCAGCACUCUGGGACGUGACUGACGCUGAGACGCGAAAGCGUGGGGAGCAAACAGG
RNAcentral lists this ribosomal RNA (254 nucleotides) under uncultured bacterium. RNAcentral describes it as "partial 16S ribosomal RNA". It matches the Rfam family "Bacterial small subunit ribosomal RNA", at positions 524 to 776 of the family's 1533-position model. The record is from RNAcentral.